This 2645-nucleotide unclassified non-coding RNA is filed under the name Leishmania donovani. RNAcentral's name for it is "gene:LdHU3.27.0740(CDS-product:Ring_finger_domain /Zinc_finger_C3HC4_type_(RING_finger)/zinc-RING_finger_doma in/PHD-finger_containing_protein_putative)". Lineage: Eukaryota; Euglenozoa; Kinetoplastea; Trypanosomatida; Trypanosomatidae. The record is from RNAcentral.
UGCUCUCCGCAAACACGCACGUGCACACCCACGCUCACACGCACAUACAAAGCCGAUACGCACGCGCGGUCCCGCUGUCGUGGCGUCGUCUCUUGUCGUGUACUCCGCUGGCCUCCUCACUGCUGCUCCGGUAUCGAGACUGCGCACCGCCCCCGCUCGCCCUCCGGACAGACUUGGACACGAGGCACCGUUGCGGAGAGGUUUGGCGCUCGCGCUUGUGGACCACAGCCACAUGGUGGUACCCGGUACGUGCAUGUAUUCAACUUGCGGAUGGUGGGAGAGAAGCAGCCAUUGACCCUGUCGCGGACUUGUCCCUUAAAGAGGCAGAGCAGCGCGAAUGAGCUCAUCAUCGCCGUCUCAGUCGCCUGCAUCGAGUUCGGUAGUGCCGGAGCGGGGUUACGUGACUGCGAGCGCGGCCCCGGCAACGUCUCCGGCAGCGCUAGUGGAGUCGACGGAGAAGUAUGAGAACAUCUGCGGGAUUUGCCUCACCGACAUCCACCCGGUCGACAACCCGCGGGGGCGCCUCAACUCGUGUGGCCAUCUCUUCUGCUCGUAUUGCAUCAAAGAGUGGGCCAAGAACACGAAUGUGUGCCCAAACUGCAAGGCGCGAUUCACGCGCAUCUACACCUUUCACGCGGACUCGGGAAAGGAGGAGGAGACGAAGGUGCGCAAGCGCAACUAUGUUGCGUGGGAGACCUCUUACUACGACGAGGAGGGGGAGGACGACGCAGUCAACGAGGAGGCGCUGCUGAAUAGCGUACUGUGUGAUGUGUGCAAGAAGUCCGACAAUGCGGCGCGUAUGAUUUUCUGCGACCGGCGCCAAUGUGUCUACACCGCCCACCUUGACUGCCUCGGCUUGGCGGAGCGGCCCAUAACGUUUUUGUGCGCCGCCUGCAGGAAGUUGCGGGAGGAGGAAGGGGACGACCAUGUACCGUUGGCACAAACCUUCAGCGCGGCGUCGUUUGCUGCUGCUUCGCCGGAGCCACCCGUGCCACCGACGCCGGUGACAGUGGCAGCGGCACCGACGCGACGCCGAGCGACGGCACGUGCAGCUCCGACACCUGCCGUAGCUGCACAGACGCGAGCUACCGUUGCUGCAGUCGACACGUGCGGUGGUGGUCCAAGUGCGGAGGCUCCCACGAGUGUGUCCUCUCGUCUGGCAUCGACUUCGACAGUGACGGCUGCCCCCAGGAGUCGUAUGCCUCGAAUGACCAACAACUCCUCUGUGGAAUGCCCGAGCGACCGCCGAAGCUCCUCCUCGGCGUCGUCGUCGGCGUCUAUGCGGACGGAGUCUUCGACGGUGCCGCGUGUCCGCAUCGACUUUUCGAAGCCGCAUCUGCCCCUAAUGACCCCGGCCACGACGACGUCGCAGCCGAGUUCGAGACACAUUCCUACGCCUCUGCACACGGAGGUUGCCAGCGCGGCGGACCAGGAAUACUACUUCCUCGCCCCCGUAUCGCAUGCCGUUGCAGCUAUGAUUGAGCUGAACCGGGUGAAGCAGGCGCGCGCGGCAGCGGCGCAGACCCGACUUCAGCGCGAGCGUGCCAAGGCAGAGCGCCUGCAAGCGGCGUACGAUGCCCACCGCAGUGAUCUACUCCCGAGUGGCGCCCGGAAGAGAGCCCAUCGCAGCGUGGCGGAUGAGGUGAUCGCAGAGCUCGAGUCGGCAGAGGAGGAGUUUCGUGAUCCGCAGCAGAGGCGCCUGAUGGAGGAGCGCAUGGUGCGUAAGUGGGCCGCCGACAUACUCCCCGUGCUACGACGCCGGCGCUACAUAGAAGGCGACACCGCCACGGCGGAGAGUGAUUUGUGGGCACAGGCGAUCUCGCAGGCUCGCACAAUGGUGCGCCAGAAGCUGGGGGCGAAGAGUGAAUCGCUGCGGCGCCGACGUGAGCAACUUGUGCGUGCGCAGGCACACCGAGAGGCAGCGGCGCUAGCGAAGCUCGCGCGCAUUAUUGCACAGCACCGAGAAGGCUCGCUGAGAGCGGACUAGUCCGCUGCACCAUGUGAUGCCUUUGGCCGAAGCUUGCGGCACUGCUCGCAACGGUGAAACAAAACGGCGCACCGAAGCCGUGCACCUGCACAGACGGUUCUGGUGCUGGGCAGAGACGCGUGCGGGGUAAUAUGAUGGCAUGUAUUCUGUCUUGGCUGUUACGGCGCGCACAAUCCUCUCCCUUCCUGCGGAGUACUGCUCGCCUCACCCGCGUGAGGCCCCGAGCCGGAAGGAGAAAUGAAACAGCAGAAGAAAAACUGACUGUGGACCUCCAGCGGUGCGUAUAAAACCGCGUAGACGACCGCGCCACCUUUGGCCCUCCACCUUCCCACGGACACUCACGCGCAGCGCAAAAUCGUAUGUCGCUGGGCAUGUGCACUGCGGCGUUUUGUCUUGGCGGCGCACCUCGCGGAUGCUUUGUCUUCUCCUUCAGUUGUUGUGGCCAAACGCGGUACUUGGUGCGCCCAUGAUGGGCUGCCCAUACCCACCACCUCCACCUUCCCCUCCCCCCUACACACGCGCGCGUGCCCCUAUGGCCGAUGGCACCGGUGCCGUGCUCGCCUUCCUGCCACAUCGCUCAUUCGCUCUGUUUUUCUCCACGUCGCGGCGGACAUUCUAAACGCGCCGUGUUGCGUUUGCCGCCGCUCUCGCCUCACAG